RNAcentral lists this ribosomal RNA (327 nucleotides) under uncultured eukaryote. RNAcentral describes it as "partial 18S ribosomal RNA". It matches the Rfam family "Eukaryotic small subunit ribosomal RNA", at positions 1470 to 1796 of the family's 1831-position model. The record is from RNAcentral.
CCCUUAGAUGUUCUGGGCCGCACGCGCGCUACACUGACUGGUGCAACAAGUGUCUGACCUUGGCUCGAGAGGCCUGGGCAACCUUUGAACGCCAGUCGUGCUGGGGAUAGAUUCUUGCAAUUAUUAAUCUUCAACGAGGAAUUCCUAGUAAACGCACGUCAUCAGCGUGCAUUGAUUACGUCCCUGCCCUUUGUACACACCGCCCGUCGCACCUACCGAUUGAAUGGUCCGGUGAAGCCUCGGGAUUGUGGCUGGUUCCCUUUAUUGGGGAUUGGUUGCGAGAACUUGUCUAAACCUUAUCAUUUAGAGGAAGGUGAAGUCGUAACA